CUUCCUAGUUGCUCGGUCCGACUUACUCAUUGAGACUCGGUGAUAGUGCUUAUGUUGUUAUUGUUAACAAGAUGCAGCUGACUCAGGUUUCUUACUAACAGAAAGAGGAAUUUAAAAGCAGAUUUGUGAGAGAAAGAGUUUGUUGCUGCUGUUAGAUGGAGAGGAUUAAGAAAUAAGGGUUUGGUUUGAUUAUGAAAGGAACCAAGAAUAAGAAGAAAUUUAUGGAGUAUUGUUUAACACCGAGUUUCUUAAGAUUUUACACAAUUGUUCAACGCCGAGUUGCUUAAGAUUUUACACAAUUGGGUUGUUAUUGAGCGAAGAAACCAGGUAAGAAAGUGGGUUUGCUGCCAUCGAUCGCGGAUUAUCAACAGAGCCGGAUGAAGAGAUUAGCAGGCAUAUUCGAGUCUGUGGAAGAUUGGGAAGGAUGGGUUGGCCUUCAACUCGAGUUUCACAGGUUUUUGGUGGAGUUUUGCAAUUAGAACAGACCAAGUUUGCUGCAAUCAGUGUGGGGAUGGAUCAAUGAGAUUAAUGGUUGUUCUUGAGAAUUUGUGAAUGUUUAGAAACGAAUCCUAAACUCAAAGUUAUUCAGGGCUGCUGGGAUUGGUUAUAGGAGACAGCGAAACCACUUGCAAAGCCAAUUGCAAUGGAAUGCUGUAAGAUCCAAUAUUGAGGAGAAGAGUUUGGAAGAAUUAGAAAACUAAAUCUAAAAAUUCAGGUGAUGAUGGGUCGAUCUUCUCACAUUUGGGUAAGUUGUUGCUGUGACUGUGGUUGGUAGAAAUGACGCUCCGCGCUUCAUGAAGCAAAUAUUGCACUUGGAGUUGGCAUUGCUCUGUGUUGUAAGGCAAAUAAUAUUGACCACCAUGUUGCCUUCAAGGUACUUUAUUGGUUGCUUACCAGAUGACACUUAAACUCCUUUAGUUGCUUGAGGGAUAUUCACCCAGUACCCGAAUUCAAUGGGUCAUAUAUAUAUAUAUAUAUAUAUAUAAGCAAUGCCAUUAUUGUUAUCUCUUUACUGGUGGAAAAUAUAAUGUCAUUGUGUCAAGGGUGAACUUGGCUCCUACAUGCAUACGGCUGCUUCAAGAUAAUGAGGCAGAAGGACGGAUAGUUGCUGGCAAAAGAAAAAUGGCAGAGAUAUCAGUGGUGUAUAAAACUUCAACGAUGUUAAAGGAUAGUUUCAGGUAAUGUAGGGAUAUCAAUCUUCCCUUCAAGAAAAGUUAGCAGUCCUUAAAAUGCUAGAUUAAAUUGCUUGGGAUUUUCGUGGAUUUGGUUUCUUAAACUACAAUAGUUUAUUAUGUUUGAAAGUUUUUUUAGUCACCCAACAUUUAUCGAUUUUGAUAUCUGGCCACAAUACCGGGGUCGUUCACAGUGUAUCAUCAGCUAAGAAACAUAAAACAUUUCCUGUAUUGAGAAGCAACUAAACUCAAUCUAGCUUCUUCAACCUUAAUGAUCAAAUCGCGUGAACCUACCCCGAAUCUGUUGUGAUGGUGAGACUCUUAACAUCAACCUUAAUUCAUGAAUUGUGCUUACAGUACUAAAGAAGAACAGAUUUUGUUGCUGAUUUUGUUCCUUCGCAUGCCAACUUUGGGAUUGUAUGAGAGGAACCAGAUAUGAUCUUUACUUUAGUUUCUUUUGAUUAGCUUGACCAACAUCUAAUUGUAAUGGUUCUGUUUUUGGGUAGAUUACAGUUGGCACCCGACACUCUUUUCGGUCAUUCCAUACACCGUGUAUGAGUUGUGAAGUUCGCAUCGGGUGACAUCGCAGUUUACUACUGUCAGUGGUGGACAAUUCUACAGGUUAUGGGUAAUGAUGUUGAACCUAACAUCAAUAGCAAACAUGCAAGAAACUAACCAUACCAAGGUAGUCGUUGAGUUAAGAUUUUUUUGUUCGUUUAAUUGUGGAUCUAAGUAAUGAAAGAGUGGGAUUUUUUUUUUUUUGUUUUUUUUUUAUGAAGAUUUCAGCAUACACCAUCCUAGGAAUUAGUCUUACUGGGAAGAAUUAGUCUUACUGGGAAGAAUUAGUAUACACUUAUUCCUAGGGCUGAAACAGACUAUAUAGCAUAGUUCCCCACAUCCACUUCCUACAUAAGAAAGAUCAUUUGCAUAUAUAUCUGGUGCGUCGAACGAGAUCACUUUAUAGUGCAUGGGAAGAAGCAAACGAUUUCUUUGGUGAAGCAGCUGCUCUGUGUAUAACGUUUUAGUGUGGAUCAAGGGUAUAGAAGAUUCCAGUGGAAGACAUUUUGUAAAGCUCAGAAGUGAUUCUUCUAGGUGAUACAAAUAUAUCAGGGCUGAAUUGGGGGACCCUGAAAUAGUAAUUGGGGACCGCUAGCUACAAGACAAAAAAGGUCAUGAAAUAGUAAUUGGGAGUUAUCCCUUAUCCCAUUUUUUAAGAAAUGGCUAAAUUAUCCUUGGAUUAUUAGUGUUAA
Long non-coding RNA from Papaver somniferum (opium poppy), 2422 nucleotides. RefSeq lists it as uncharacterized. The record is from RefSeq and is a predicted model, not a curated record. Lineage: Eukaryota; Viridiplantae; Streptophyta; Magnoliopsida; Ranunculales; Papaveraceae. The transcript has 4 exons.